AUGUUAAUUAAACAUUCAAGAUGCCUUUCCAGAAAAAAACCUGUUCUAGCUGUGGUGUCCUGUGCAUUGAAUGAAGACUUCUUAGGGGAAUUAAAAAUUGCUUUGAAGAGGAGCAGUAUUCUACUGGUAAAAAGCAGAAGGAAAAUAGAUUGCAUCAUCUCUAACCUUUGCAGUCAUAGGCUCAGUGAACAGAACAUCAAAACCAAAUGUAAGGAAAACAAGCCUCUGUGUUCAAUUUACCUAG
Molecule: long non-coding RNA, 244 nt
Organism: Cyanistes caeruleus (blue tit)
Lineage: Eukaryota; Metazoa; Chordata; Aves; Passeriformes; Paridae
Source: Ensembl